This is a long non-coding RNA of Frieseomelitta varia, 1263 nucleotides long. RefSeq lists it as uncharacterized. Lineage: Eukaryota; Metazoa; Arthropoda; Insecta; Hymenoptera; Apidae. The record is from RefSeq and is a predicted model, not a curated record. The transcript is spliced from 2 exons.
GUUUCCUCAAGAUUAAUACUAGCAGGCGAUAUAGUGGCAAUAAUCGACGUUUUUGUACGACCACCUAAUGACUCCUGCAGUAAUCUUACAAAAUAUUUGUUACCGAUAAGGUAUAUGAGGUGCUCUUUCAACAAGAGCUGUUAUAACUCGGCCAAGAGUCAAUAAAGACUGAUUUAUGCUGCCAGCUUCUCUUGCUCUCUUGUCUACAGAGCCAGAUCUUCCAACGUUUUCACUGCCAGCUAGGUCCACUAAAUUUAAUUUUCCCGUUUUUAGAAUCUCUUCACCAUCAAUAGUACUUUCUUUCAUGUGUAUAGUGAUUGAGAAUAUUGUAUGAGACCGACUGUAAUUAUGUUUAAAUAUUAAACCAAUAUAUUCCGAAACAUAAAGUUAUAUAAUAUACAAAAUAUUUAUAAGCAUGCAUCAUGAACAAUUAUGAAAAAAAAGAUAGAGGAAUAACCUAGAUUGAGCAUUCAUCAAUGUUGCAGCUGUUUGCCUUUUAUCUGCUCCUUUCUUAAGAAUUUUAUAAACUUCACUUGUAUUGUGUAUUGUCACUUCUUCUAACCCAUGUAUAAUUACUGCACCUUUCUUCGAUGCAUCUUCGUACAAUCUAUUCAAUUAGAUGAAUAAAACAAUUGGUCAAAAUAUUUAAGCAUUUCCUUUUGAUUUAAAAAACUUGUAUUACAUACCUCAAUUUAGAUGCGUCACUGCUAGUUGAUAAAAGAUCAAACAAAUCUUCAUUAUAGAGUUCAAGAAAACUAACUCUAAUUGUAUAUUCUUGUAUCUCUAAUAAUUGCAAUUUGUAAAAUAAAUGAUUUAAGGAACGUGGUAUCAUACCAGCAGAUGAAUCCUAGAAUAUAUAUAAAUGUAAAUAAUGCUCUUUCAUAUUUUACAUGACUACUAACUGAUUAUUUUAUUUUGUUACUAUCAUUAUUAUUACCCUCUAGUAUGACCCUCUAGAUUAGUCAUAUAAUUUAUUAUUGAAUACUUUUUAAAAACACUAUACUUUUGUAUAAAUUUAUUUAUAAUUAAAAUUUUAUAUUAUGCGAAUAAAUAAGUGUAGAAAAUAUCUUACACUAUUCCAAUGUAAAGUUGGAUCAAUGUUAAUUCCUUCCAUUGUGUAUGUUUUCCCAGUGCCAGUUUGACCAUAUGCAAAUACUGUACAGUUAUAUCCAGCCAAAACUUGCUCCAAUAAUGGACUAACAACAUUAUUAUACACAUCGAUCUGUCAAUUAAAAAUAUAUAGUAAACUGUUAUUUCUUUAAA